CCGUCUCUCCGCUGCGGGCGAGCCUGGAGGACCUCGCGGGUCUUCCGCCGGCGCUGAUCAUCACCGCGGAGGCGGAC
RNAcentral lists this transfer RNA (77 nucleotides) under Streptomyces canarius. RNAcentral describes it as "tRNA-Ala(cgc)". Lineage: Bacteria; Bacillati; Actinomycetota; Actinomycetes; Kitasatosporales; Streptomycetaceae. The record is from RNAcentral.